Molecule: long non-coding RNA, 322 nt
Filed under: Physcomitrium patens
Lineage: Eukaryota; Viridiplantae; Streptophyta; Bryopsida; Funariales; Funariaceae
Description: long non-coding RNA (PPAT_LNC006383)
Source: RNAcentral
UCAAACAUUAAGAAAGCUCAAUUAAAUUUUAUUGAAGUUAUAAAAGAAAUACGAGGAAAUCCUAUAGAAAUAUAAAAGAAUAUUAAAGAAAACUUAGUCAAACCCUAAAAAAAAUCUAAAUAAACCUUAAAUUCUAACCAAAUCCUAAUUCUAAUCCAACCUUAAUCAAAUCCUAGACAAACCCUAAACCCUAAACAUACCCUAGUCAAAUCUUAGAAAAAUCCUAAUCCUAACAAAUCGUAAUCAAUUCCAAAUCCUAAUCAAAUCCUAAACAAAUCCUAGUCAAACCUUAAUCAAACCCUAACUCUAAAUCCUAACCAAA